RNAcentral lists this long non-coding RNA (531 nucleotides) under Homo sapiens (human). RNAcentral describes it as "PREDICTED lncRNA (TCONS_00229028)". Lineage: Eukaryota; Metazoa; Chordata; Mammalia; Primates; Hominidae. The record is from RNAcentral.
AAAAGGAGCUGAGAAUGGAACCUUGAAGAAAGGCUCCUGAAAAGAAGACUGAAACACAUUGGCAAGAGAAGUAGAAGAACCAGAAGAGCCCACUGCUUUGGAAACCGAAGGAGUUGAUUUCAUAACAGGGGAAAUAACAAGGAGUUUCAGGAGUUGAGGGGAGAUCAUAGAGUUGGCAGGCAGAGAAGAGUCCCCGGCUUGGACAAUGGAGGCUGGGGGUUCCCCUGGAGCAGGACUCCUCAAAAUGUGUUCUGCAGACCUGCACCAGGCCACACACUGGACAGGCCCACCAACAGUAAUUUCAACACUACUCCUAUUCUAUGCAUCAAUGGCUUUGAUGGUUAUUGAUGGAACAGGGGUCAGAAGCAGAUGCCUGGAGGACUGAGCAGGAGGCCAGGAUGCUGGACCACCCACUCUCUGGUCAUGGCAAGUGAAAGAUAGAGGGCACUUGGUCAGUGUUGGGGAAGGAGAGGUGGCAAAGGGAAGAUCCUGAAGACCCAGAGAAUGUUGUUUGUGGCUCAUAUUUGCUCA